This 242-nucleotide ribosomal RNA is filed under the name uncultured bacterium. Its description in RNAcentral is "partial 16S ribosomal RNA". It matches the Rfam family "Bacterial small subunit ribosomal RNA", at positions 521 to 762 of the family's 1533-position model. The record is from RNAcentral.
UAAUACGUAGGGGACUAGCGUUGUCCGGAAUCAUUGGGCGUAAAGAGCGCGUAGGCGGCCAGAUAAGUCCGGUGUGAAAGUCAAAGGCUCAACCUUUGAAUGCCGCUGGAAACUGUCUGGCUAGAGUCCGGAAGGGGCGAGUGGAAUUCCUGGUGUAGUGGUGAAAUGCGCAGAUAUCAGGAGGAACACCAAUGGCGAAGGCAGCUCGCUGGAACGGUACUGACGCUGUGGCGCGAAAGCGU